RNAcentral lists this long non-coding RNA (432 nucleotides) under Homo sapiens (human). RNAcentral describes it as "HSALNT0119836". The record is from RNAcentral. Lineage: Eukaryota; Metazoa; Chordata; Mammalia; Primates; Hominidae.
AGAUGUUUUAAUUCAAUGAAAUAGACAAUAGGGCGAAAGGUAACAUUACUCUGUUCCCUCAACAACAACAGAUCUUCCAGUUGAGGGCAGUUUUGUCGGAUAUGGAAUGAACUCAGUGUGUGCACUUGGACAUAUGAAUAUAUGCACAUAUUUCUGCUGAGAAGCCCUUUAGAGAGAUUAGUGAAGGAGAAAAGCAAGAUAGAACUUGUGUUCAAAUUCUGAGGUUGCAGGUUAAAACAAGCAAGGCAAGCACUACUUUUAAAGUGUUUUCUUAACCAUCAGAAUACUUCAGUAUGAUGUCUUUAAAGCUGGGGAGAUAAGACUAACAAAACAGUAUAGAUUGAACUGAAAUUACGAUGCUACUAGUAUAUCACCAUUAGAACUUACAUCAUAUAAAUGUGUUUUCCAUUUUAUGUCUUUCUAUAACUCGUU